UUUCAUCGUAUCAAAUCUCGAGUUAUAUAUAGGUAAAGUUCUAGAUGUUGCUUUGCGCAUCGCAAUGAUUGUGUAUGCAAUGUCUUUCGCCGUUCGCAUCACAGACUCUUCAAGACUCUCGUGUCACGGUUGCGUGAGGUUCAGCGUAGCAAUAUAUUGUACUAUACAAUACUACUAACACGCCGAAGUUAAGCACGUCGAGAGCUGUCGAGAGCGUGCAAUUGGUGUCUGCUGACAGUGCUGACUGCUUAGUGCUUGUGUUUGUGUUUCGCCGUCGCGCCGUUUGCGCCGUUCGCAGAUCGGAGUACGUGUAUGUAUGUUCAUAUGUACACACGUCGCGCGUCGCUCCUUUCCACGAAGCGUGUGCGAUAUAAAAACGAACCAUGCAUGGCCGUAGUGAUGCACUAUCGGAAUAGCAAUCAACUGCGCAAUGGGCGAUAGGUGUGGCAUGUGAAAAAGGAAAGGAAAGCUCGUCAGCGAGUUGUCGCGAGUGAUCAGAGAGAACGAGAGAGAGAGAGAGAGA
Acromyrmex echinatior (Panamanian leafcutter ant) is the source of this 523-nucleotide long non-coding RNA. The record is from RefSeq and is a predicted model, not a curated record. Lineage: Eukaryota; Metazoa; Arthropoda; Insecta; Hymenoptera; Formicidae.